AUGGCUGAUGGAUCCUCCGCAAUGGCAACCUCGUUCGUGAACGUCCCGAUAGAUGAUGGGCUGCUGAUCAAGAACCUUCCUCCGCUGUCUCCAAUCCACGUCACCAUCAGCAAGCAAUUCAUUCUUGAACGAGCAAUUGAAACAAUUGGUGGCACACUCCAUCCAUUCACUUUUACCGGUACAAGCAGCGAUGAUGUCGACGUCUCUCUCUCCAUUGACCUACCUCCCCACAGCAAAAGCAUGUCAAGCACAAGAAAGGAAUUCCAUGCCCCACACAUCGAAUCUACAUGUGUUGCUGCCCUCGCGUACCUACAGAAAACAGGUAUAGUCACAAUCGAUGAUGCAAACUUUGCAGAGCUGAAAAUAUGCAAAAGGAAACUUCAGGCUGUGGAGUUCUGGUCCUCGACUCUCUAUGAUAAGGCCAAUGCCCUGGGCAACCAGCUCUCUUUACUGACUGCCGCCAAGCAGAAACCCCAGCCUGAGGAUAAACAAGGAGCUGCUGUGUUGCCUCCUAACCAUCAUAAUACUCCACAGACCAGCCAGAAAGUGCUUUCCGAGCAUGCCACUGGAAGGGAAACCACAUCAACCCCUGUCACAGAAACAAACAAUAGGUUCGUGCGAGGUAGUCCCUAUGAAGUACAUCGACAAGCUGGAUGGAUUACGGCGCCUAUUAGUAUGCUUAGUAAUAAUGACUCCUUAGUUGACAAUGUUUAUUAUGUUCCUGCCCUUAUUACCUUCUCUUAUGUGUUCUCGCUUUUGGUAUUGAACCUGAUGUCAAAUGGCUAUCUUUUGUGGUCAUGUAAACGCACCAAGUUUGAUUCUGCCUUAUAA
Molecule: ribosomal RNA, 831 nt
Filed under: Triticum aestivum (bread wheat)
Lineage: Eukaryota; Viridiplantae; Streptophyta; Magnoliopsida; Poales; Poaceae
Description: partial small subunit ribosomal RNA
Source: RNAcentral